RNAcentral lists this ribosomal RNA (253 nucleotides) under uncultured bacterium. RNAcentral's name for it is "partial 16S ribosomal RNA". It matches the Rfam family "Bacterial small subunit ribosomal RNA", at positions 524 to 776 of the family's 1533-position model. The record is from RNAcentral.
UACGUAGGUGGCAAGCGUUGUCCGGAAUUAUUGGGCGUAAAGCGCGCGCAGGUGGUCUCUUAAGUCUGAUGUGAAAGCCCCCGGCUCAACCGGGGAGGGUCAUUGGAAACUGGGAGACUUGAGUGCAGGAGAGAAGAGUGGAAUUCCACGUGUAGCGGUGAAAUGCGUAGAGAUGUGGAGGAACACCAGUGGCGAAGGCGACUCUUUGGUCUGUAACUGACACUGAGGCGCGAAAGCGUGGGGAGCAAACAGG